This 533-nucleotide ribosomal RNA is filed under the name uncultured fungus. Its description in RNAcentral is "eukaryotic LSU rRNA". It matches the Rfam family "Eukaryotic large subunit ribosomal RNA", at positions 73 to 628 of the family's 3401-position model. The record is from RNAcentral. Lineage: Eukaryota; Fungi.
GAUUACCUCAGUAACGGCGAGUGAAGCGGUAAUAGCUCAAAUUUGAAAUCUGGCCUCUUGGGGUCCGAGUUGUAAUUUGUAGAGGAUGUUUUGGGUACCGCCCCGGUUUAAAUUUCUUGGAACAGAAUGUCAGAGAGGGUGAAAGUCCCGUCUUGGACCGGUGUAGGGCCUGUGUAAAACUCCUUCGACGAGUCGAGUUGUUUGGGAAUGCAGCUCAAAAUGGGUGGUAAAUUUCAUCUAAAGCUAAAUAUUGGCCAGAGACCGAUAGCGCACAAGUAGAGUGAUCGAAAGAUGAAAAGCACUUUGAAAAGAGAGUUAAAUAGUACGUGAAAUUGCUGAAAGGGAAGCGCUUAUGACCAGACUUGGGUUCGGUGAAUCAUCCGGCGUUCUCGCCGGUGCACUUUGCCGUCCCAGGCCAGCAUCAGUUCGCGCCGGGGGAUAAAGGUUUCGGGAACGUGGCUCCCUCGGGAGUGUUAUAGCCCGUUGCGUAAUACCCUGGCGUGGACUGAGGUCCGCGCUCUGCAAGGAUGCUG